RNAcentral lists this ribosomal RNA (403 nucleotides) under uncultured bacterium. Its description in RNAcentral is "partial 16S ribosomal RNA". It matches the Rfam family "Bacterial small subunit ribosomal RNA", at positions 30 to 526 of the family's 1533-position model. The record is from RNAcentral.
AUUGAACGCUGGCGGCAGGCCUAACACAUGCAAGUCGAGCGAGCGGCGGACGGGUGAGUAAUGUAUGGGGACUGCCCGAUAGAGGGGGAUAACUACUGGAAACGGUAGCUAAUACCGCAUACUAUCGGAUAACCCAUAUGGGAUUAGCUAGUAGGUUAGGUAAUGGCUAACCUAGGCGACGAUCCCUAGCUGGUCUGAGAGGAUGAUCCGCCAAACUGGGAAUGAAACACGGCCCAGAGUCCUACGGAGGCAGCAGUGGGGAAUAGUGCACAAUGGGCGCAAGCCUGAUGCAGCCAUGCGGCGGGUAUGAAGAAGGCCCUAGGGUUGUAAGGUACGUUCAGUCGGGAGGCGUUACCGACAGAAGAAGCACCGGCUAACUCCGUGCCAGCAGCCGCGGUAAUAC